UNGCAUCCAUGCCUAUCCCCUGGGCCUC
This 28-nucleotide non-coding RNA is filed under the name Mus musculus (house mouse). The record is from RNAcentral. Lineage: Eukaryota; Metazoa; Chordata; Mammalia; Rodentia; Muridae.